This is a long non-coding RNA of Musca vetustissima, 331 nucleotides long. RefSeq lists it as uncharacterized. The transcript has 3 exons. The record is from RefSeq and is a predicted model, not a curated record. NCBI's taxonomy places the organism in Eukaryota, Metazoa, Arthropoda, Insecta, Diptera, Muscidae.
CAAUAUGCUCAGAAUCGGGCUGCUGCACAAAUUCCCAUUUUGCGUAGUGAUUACAACAAUGACGGCAAUGGUCAUUAUAAUUUUGGCUUCGAAACCGGCAAUGGCAUUAAACGCAAUGAAAAUGGCGAACUUCAAGGUGGUUGGCCACAUGGUUCAUUAAAUGUGGCCGGUUCUUAUUCCUACACUGGUGAUGAUGGCAAGGUCUAUUCGGUUAACUAUAAGGCCGAUAGCAAUGGUUUCCAUGCUGAGGGUGAUCAUUUACCCACACCACCACCAAUUCCCAAGGAAAUUCAAGAAACUUUGCAUUUACAUCAACGUGGCAACUCUGGUG